AACACUGUAAGAUAAGCGUUCAUAAUUAAUCUGUUUUAUUUCGAAAUAAUAAUUAAAAGUUAUCAAUAAAUCCUUAUUUUAUAUCCUUUCCAUUGAUCAAAAAAUUAUUGAUAUCAUUUGUGUUUUAAGAAAAUAUAAGCCGUUAGAAAAACAUAAUUAUUAACCAAAAACAUGGACGCUCGGCGUCUGCCCAUCCGAUCUUUUCUUAUCAGUUCUAUAAAUAGAAUAUACAACGGAUUUGUGCACAAACACUAUCUCCCCUAUUAAAUCUUAAUUAAUAAAUAAAUCAACAUUUUCCAUGAACACUUUUUAAACUGUGUAUUUGGUGAUGUUGAUGCAGUCCAUUUUUAACUUAGCCUAUUCUAUUUUAAUCAAGGAUUUUCCAAAAACGGCACUGUGGCAGAGAAACUUCCCAAAAUGCAAGAUAACAUUUCCCAAAAUCACACCAACAAAUGGUUUAAUUUUGUUUACAUUUUAGUUUUACUGGGGAAGCGGUUGUCGGGUAUUGAUUUUUUGUCUUACUAUAGCGCAAAGUACUGCGUGUUGCGCAUUACGAGUCUAAUUCGUUAUGUUCCAUGUCCCGGAUUUUAGAUUUUAGUCCGUGCUUCAGGGGAGAUAAAUUUAAUUCAUCUUUCUCUGUUUACUUCCGGUUGAUUAUUGUCCCAACAAAAUGUCAUAUGACGGGAAAUAUUACUGCAAAUCAAUCAAAUGCAUGGCAGUAUCAAAAGAAAUCAGAGGUCAUGGUUUGACUGUGGGUUUGAUUCCGAAAAUUCUUCAAAAAAUCACAGAGGACAAGGGGAGGGCAGUACUGAUAUGCCCCAUCUGGGAAACUCCGAGUUGGUAGCCCUGAAUCUCGGGCUUUUUCCUAUAUCCACAAAGCCCUCAAGCACAAAGACAUACCAAAAUCUGACAGAAACAUCAUCCUUUCUUCCUGGAGAGACUGCACUAAACGACAAUACAAUGGAUAUAUUACCAAAUGGAUUCAAUUCUGUGGCAGGACAAUUGACCAACUUCAACCCCACAUAAACCAAGUGUUAAAGUUUUUAAGUAAAUCGUUUGAUAAUGGCAUGGAAUAUUGGACAUUGGGUGUCACUUGAUCAGACUUGAGUAUUUUUCUUGAAACAUGUUGGAACAUGACAUUAAUACAUUAUGAAGAACUUACUAGAUUUAUGAAAGGUCUUUCUUAAGCGACCAGCUUUUCCUAGAUAUCAAACUACCUGGGAUGUAAAUACAGUACUUACAUAUUUGAAGAUAUCACAACAUGUUACAUUGCUUCAAUUGACAUGUAAAUUAUGUAUUUUAGUUUUAUUGUUAACAGCCCAGAGAGGACAGAAUUUGCAUUUAUUAGCUAUGAAUGAUGUUACAGUGUAUUCUGACAAUAAGACUGCCAUUGUACCAAAUCAUUUACUGAACACCAGGGCAUCAUGCAGAAUUGAUCACACUUCAAGCAUUUAGAGAAAAUAAAAACCUGUGUAUUGUUCACAUACUGAAAGAAUAUUAAGAUCGCACAAAAUGUCUGAGAACGGGAGACAAGGUACUGAUAAGUACAGUAAAACCUCAUAAACCAGUGUCGCAGGUAUAGAUUGUUCAUUUGCACCACACAGUAUGCGGGCAACUGCCACGUCAAAAGCAAAAUUACAUGGUGUCCCUCUUGAAACUAUUAUUAGAACAGCAGGGUGGACAAAUGCAAGGACAUUUGCUAAAUAUUAUGAUAAACCUAUUGUUGGCAACUUGUCCUUUCAGGAGGGAAUAUUAAACUUUUGAAUAUUUAGAAGUAGAUAUAGGUAUGUAUACGAAUCGUGACAGAUUUACUUUCUAUACCUGUAAGGUGAAGUUUAGUUGUAAUUUCGUCGACCACAAACUCCCCUAGGGAUCACAUACCAACCCAGCCUUCCUUUACUGAUCCUUCUCAGAGAACGAUCCAAUAGGAACAAGUCAUACACCGAUUCUCUAAAACAUGAUGAGCCUUGGUCGAUGCUGCGUCAUCUCUCUUAUAAUGUGACCCCUUGGGGAGUUUGUGGUCGACGAAAUUACAACUUCACCUUAGGCCAAAAAAAAAAAGUAUGUAUGUUUCCUGUGACAUGCCAGAAAAAAAUAGGGUAGGUAGGUCGAUUUAUUUAUUUAUUUAUUUUUUUUUUUUUUUAGGAUAGAGCAGAAUACGCAUCUUCACAGUAGUAGAAUUCCCUUAUCUUUGCUUUUGCCUACUGUCUUAUCAAUACAUGUAUGUCUGUACUAGAUGGUUAUUAAAUACAUGCCGUCAGAAUAUUUCGACAGAUGCACCUUUGGUUUUCUGUUAGUUCAAGCCUAGCUUAGAAUCAUAAUUUUUUAAGGCAGGGGUGUAAAUAUUUUUUUCACACCACUCGCCCUGCAGGACUUAUAGCCACUAAAAUCUACUCACCCUUAGUGAACAGUCACUUGCCCUUAUAAUUGACAUGUUUAAUAUUGUCACUUUUAUGAAAGGAGUAUUACACAUGUACAAUAAGUAAAUUUCAAAUGUAACACACAGUAGACAAAUACUUUUCUCUUGUACACUACAUUUCCUUUUUAAGGAGGCAUAUUUGUUCUUCUUAAAUUUCCUUUUUACAGCAGACAUUUUUAUUUUUCUUUCCUCUAUUUUUGUCAGCAGCACCAGCCAGUUGCUCUCCAAAAUAACUGCAGCGAUAGUAAUAUUAAUUAAAGUCUAUCCCCUACAGUAUUUCCUAAAGUGUUACGACAGCAAAAAAUAUUUAGUUAUUUUCAUUUUCUCAAGACUUAUUUCCCGAAAAAUAAUUAUUUUGAAAAGUGUCCCAAAAAUAUGGACACAAUAAUCAUCAUCCACACACCUGUUGUGAAAGCGGAAAAAAAACCAAACAAUUAUCGGAAAUUAUUCUGUUUAUUAUGAAGCAAAUAUUUGUCAAUUUUCUUAUACAAUGCAUUUUUUAUAAAAUUUCAAAUAAUAUUUAUAUUUAUAGAAUGCUGACAUGUUUAGUAUCAAACUGUUUGUCUUUUAAAGUUAGAGUUGAUUUAAUAAUUAGUUUUUGUAAAUUCUUAUGUUUAUUUCAGUCAUUGGAAAUUUUCAUUUUCAUUUACUACAGGGAAUUACUUAAGUGUCAGAUUAUGUUAAGCUGACUCACAAAGUCUCAAAAAGAUUGUUAAGCCAGGAAGCCAAACUGUCAACUUGUAAAAAUGCUGUUAUUUGUUUUGCCUGUUCUUCUGUUUAAUCAUUAAGCCUGCCAAAUAUUGUGUUGUAAUAACUUAGUAAUUACUUAAGCCAUAUGUGUAAAAAUGUCACAUGUCAUUCACAUAACCAAUGAGAAUCCUUCACAUAUUUUAGCAUAAUGUUUUCUGAAUUUUAAAUAGAUAUGCUGGCACUUUACUUUUAGAUGUCAAAGUAGAAGGUGUUCCUUCAUAAAGAUUAACUUUACUAUUUUUAUUUGUGGUGUUCCACAUGGACUUUAGCGUUUAAAUUUGUGUUAGGUGUUCCAACACAUUUCUGGUGAACCAGAUAAAUUUCUGUUGUGUUAAAAUAUUAGAACUUUAUUAAAUUAAAAUAGAUAAACUACA
Long non-coding RNA from Mercenaria mercenaria, 3543 nucleotides. RefSeq lists it as uncharacterized. The transcript is spliced from 2 exons. The record is from RefSeq and is a predicted model, not a curated record. Lineage: Eukaryota; Metazoa; Mollusca; Bivalvia; Venerida; Veneridae.